GAAAUGGAGAUGUUUGCUGAAAGCUGCAGUACUAUGAAUCUGCAUUAAUUAUUGGUGAUACAUAAACCAUGAUUAGCAUUAAUAAAAUAGGUAGAGUUUAAGUGAAUAGAGGUCUGGGUUGUUAGAAAUGCAGUAGAGUUUUCAGAUGCUCACGUGAUUCAGACUUUCUUUAGAGGUCUGAUGCUCACAAACAUCAUCAGAGAUCAGAGCCGGUCUGCUGAGCACUUGUGGAUGAAAACACAAUAUCUAGAUAUUAUCCACACUUUUGCUGGAUUCACUGUCAGUCAUAAAAUGUGUCUCAUUCAGACAAACAUGAGGCGUUCCGCCUGAAUUCAUCAUUCACCAGCUGCACAAACUCUUCACAGCUGUAGAAACAUCACACACGUCUCAUCAGAACUGUGAAGCUGCUUAUUUCAGUGUGAAUAUAUCAAAUUAACACAUUCCUGAUGUGUGAACUGAACAUAUGAAGAGAUGAAUCUGUGUUAGUGCUUGCGUUUGUGUCUAUGUUUGUGCCCAUAUUCAUGUUUGUUUCCUCAUAUAAUGCGGAGCCAAACCAUUCAGGGCUUUAUAAGUAAUUAGCAAGAUUUUGAAAUCUAUACGAUGUUUAAUAGGUAGCCAGUGUGUAACGUUUGAGCUGAUGAGACAUGAGGCAAGCAGAUCCAAGUGCAAGCUUUUAUUUCCAGACAGUCAAAAACACAGACAGGGUCAAAACGAUGGCAAACAGAAUAAUCAAAAACAGGAGUGGUCAAUCUCCAGCAAACAAUAUCCAGACAGGGUAAUCCAAAGGGUAAAUACAACAAUACAAAAGCAAGAAUCAAAAACCAGGUAUACAAUCCAAUAACAAAACACGAAGGCAAGACAAGGCAGGAAACAAGACAACAUGGGCUAAACAACACUCAGCCGUGAAUGGUGGUGUGAGACUGAGUUAUAUACUCACAGGAUAACGAGGUAACAAGGAGGGAGGAGCUAAUCAAUUAUUAUAGAAACUAACAAGAUGGGCAAAAGAACAAGGGAACACAAAACAAUGGGGAACAAGAACAUUUCAAAAUAAGUGUCCACAAAACCAAGACAGGGGAACAUAGACUGGGAUCCUGACACAGUGCAGUGUUGACAGGACCGGGCUAAUAUGAUCAUACUUCCUGGUUCUAGUAAGAACUCUAGCUGCUGCAUUUUGGACUAACUGGAGUUUGUUUACUAAGCGUGCAGAACAACCACCCAAUAAAGCAUUACAAUAAUCUAACCUUGCGGUCAUAAACGCAUGGAUUAACAUUUCUGCAUUUG
Molecule: long non-coding RNA, 1281 nt
Organism: Cyprinus carpio carpio
Lineage: Eukaryota; Metazoa; Chordata; Actinopteri; Cypriniformes; Cyprinidae
Source: Ensembl